Molecule: non-coding RNA, 31 nt
Filed under: Homo sapiens (human)
Lineage: Eukaryota; Metazoa; Chordata; Mammalia; Primates; Hominidae
Source: RNAcentral
GUUAAGAUGGCAGAGCCCGGUAAUCGCAUAA